UACGUAGGGUGCAAGCGUUAAUCGGAAUUACUGGGCGUAAAGCGUGCGCAGGCGGUUAUGCAAGACAGAUGUGAAAUCCCCGGGCUUAACCUGGGAACCGCAUUUGUGACUGCAUAGCUGGAGUACGGCAGAGGGGGAUGGAAUUCCGCGUGUAGCAGUGAAAUGCGUAGAUAUGCGGAGGAACCCCGAUGGCGAAGGCAGUCCCCUGGGCCUGUACUGACGCUCAUGCACGAAAGCGUGGGGAGCAAACAGG
Molecule: ribosomal RNA, 253 nt
Filed under: uncultured bacterium
Lineage: Bacteria
Description: partial 16S ribosomal RNA
Rfam family: Bacterial small subunit ribosomal RNA
Source: RNAcentral